UGCUGCAGAAGGAUCACAGCAUGACUUUAGUAUUGAAACAGUAGUAGAACUAACAGAAACACACACACAUCAUCACACGCACACCAGGAAUCAGCAGUUAGAUGAGACCAAACCAUUUCAUUGUUCUGUCUUCUCUCAGACAGAAAAAUGACAAUGGCCAGUGUCAGUGGGUGGGUGUUCCAGCAUCAAAGUGGCCCAUACUGUAUUAAAAGGCAACAAGCUACAGGCUAAAGAUUUAACAGAAGAUUUAACAGAGGAUGUGUGGUUAACAUUUUUCCUGUAGCAGCAGUACUAGUAGAAAUCCAGACCACUUGGUCCUAGAAGCUAAAGGUCACAUCUGGGCCAAUGGGGACAAGACCAAAGCGGACUUGACACAAAUUGAUUCUGAAAAGUAGUUGUGAUUUAUUCCAGUGGUACUGAAUGAGCUCAAUCUGAACAUCAUCCCUUUUAAAUUUGGUGUUUAUUUACACAGAAGCCGGUGAUUAACACGUAGAACGGGUUUGAUCGUAGCAACAGUCUGACAAAGAAAAAUAGAUUUAAGAAGGUUCCUUGGAUAGAAACCUUUUAAAUGACUUUGAAUUGGUGAGCUAAAUGCAGCGGUUUCUCCCCAGCAUCACCUGCUGCUGCCGCCCAGCUGGGCUUUUCUACAGAUCUCCUAAAGCUCAGUCAGGCUGGAUGGGCUGUGACAUGCUUAGUUUAGAUGUUCAGCUGGAUUUAAGUCCAGGUUUUGACUAGACCACAUUUAGACAACCUAUUUGUCAUGUUAGCUGAAUUAUACAUGACACUUAUGUCAUGAUUGAUCAAUCAUGACAUAAGUGUGAGGUUCGCUCUCAAGUUGCUGCUUUCUUCUUACCCUCUACUCAGUCUCCCAGUUCCUGCAACAGAAAACCACUAGGCUUCAGAGUGGCAGCAUCAUGCUACAUGCUGCAAUUAUAUAGUCCAGGUGAUUUUUGUUCAGGUUUGAUGCUUGAAGUUCAGGUCAAACCGGAGGCUUUAGUUUUUCUAGUCUGUUUUUGCAACAUAUAAGUCAAUAAAUAAACAUUUCAUGUCAUGUAAUCAACUCGAUUUACAACAACUGAACUCAAAUCAGGUUGGAGAAGCAUCUGAAGGACGGUCAGUGUUCUACUACCAAAGGGCAAGGGACAUUUAUGAAUGUGAUUUUUUUUACUUUGUGAGAAAUGUGUUAAAACCUGAAAAACUGUUUCACUUUAUCAUUGUGAAGUUUUGUGAGAAGAAUAUUCAGGGGGAAAAAUCUGUCAUCAGUUUUAGAAUAAAGCUCUACCAUAAAUUGGUAAAAAUGUUAAAUGAUGUCUAUUAAAUUCUCAAUGCACUGCAUUUGUAGAACCAGAGAGGUGGCCAACAUUAAAAGAAGGCUGGGAUGAAAAGACAGAUGUUCACACAUUUUUACAACAAUUCACUGUUGAGAACAGAGUGAUUAUCAAGCUGAACCGUUGGAUGGUGAUAAAUACUUUGAAGCACUAGUAAUUAAUGCUAAAUUUAGUGUAGGUCUUAAUUAGUGCUGCACUAAGUGAAGAAAAAUGGCUGCUAAUCUAGUGAUAAUUUGCACUAGAACCAAUGAUGAGGGGCAGCAGUAGUGAGAUUAUUAGCACUGUUGAGUCUCACCAGGAAAGUCCCUGGUUUGGGGGGCGGCGGAGUGGAGGGGGUUGGGAAGACUCUGGGGGUAUUUGUUUACUGUAAAAUAAUAAGACUCAAUUUUUUCAAACCCCUUCAAUGAAAAUAUAUGACCCAUCAUCCCAACAAUGAAAAUCUCAUUGUUUGAUUUUGAACCAAUAGUUAGCAUUUUAUUACAUGAAAUAAAUAUUUGAUCAUCUACUAAAGGAUUUUAUCUCUAACAGAUAAAAGGUCCUUUAUCACUCCUGCAUCUGUUUGAACUCGUAUAAUAAGAGACACCUGUCCACACAUUCAGUCAGACUCCGCCUUCUCCACCAUGGGGAAGACCAAAGAGCUGUCUAAGGACAGGGACAGAACUGCAGACAAGGCUGCACAGGCCGACAGGUCAACAGGCAAACAGCUUGGUGAGAAGGGAACAACUGUUGGAGCAAAUAUUAGAAAUUAAAUAUUUUCCAUAUUGUCAUAAAAAGGUAUUUGUGUAUACAACUUAGGAAAGACAUUAUUUUAAUACAGAUAAGGUUGUAAUAAAACAAAAUGUAGAAAAACUGAAGCGCUGUGAAUACUUUGUAGAUGCUCUGCAGAUACUUAAAAUCAUGACAGAUUUGAAAGAUGGCAAUAAUACAUUUGAAGUUUAGAGCUUUUGAUAAAACCACUGGAUGGUAACUGAUUUAACUUGGCAUGAGGUUAUUUACACCACAAACAUGAUUUAUUUUAAGAUUCUUCAACUGCACAGUUUCUAAAAAUGUGCAGGGCCUCAAAAUAUGAAAUACCAAAGAAAACACUGAAAGAAAGAAGGAAAGGGAAAUUGUUUGGUCACUGGGUGGAUUCCAGUUGGAACGAUCUCUUUUUAAUCUGCAGGAAAGCACAGAUUAAAUAAAAACAGUAAAACCAGAGGACUAGAGAAGUGGACCAAUAAAACCUGAGGUUGGAAUUGUAGACCAGAGAAAUAUCAAUAAGAACCACAGUUUACACCUUAUUCUAGCAAAUCUGAGGAAGGUCUGCUAGCUGAGAUCAAACAUCUGAUCAAGACCUCAAGAAGACAGCUGAGAGCAGGAAGCACCAUUCACUCAUCUGAUAUACAACAUGCAAGGACAUGCUGGAGCAAUGCCCAAAGUCAGUUUUACCUAAUAAUAAACCACAAGUUUACA
Long non-coding RNA from Xiphophorus couchianus (Monterrey platyfish), 2780 nucleotides. RefSeq lists it as uncharacterized. The transcript is spliced from 2 exons. Lineage: Eukaryota; Metazoa; Chordata; Actinopteri; Cyprinodontiformes; Poeciliidae. The record is from RefSeq and is a predicted model, not a curated record.